This 301-nucleotide ribosomal RNA is filed under the name uncultured bacterium. RNAcentral's name for it is "partial 16S ribosomal RNA". It matches the Rfam family "Bacterial small subunit ribosomal RNA", at positions 509 to 807 of the family's 1533-position model. The record is from RNAcentral.
CAGCAGCCGCGGUAAUACGUAGGUGGCAAGCGUUGUCCGGAAUUAUUGGGCGUAAAGGGCUCGCAGGCGGUUUCUUAAGUCUGAUGUGAAAGCCCCCGGCUCAACCGGGGAGGGUCAUUGGAAACUGGGAAACUUGAGUGCAGAAGAAGAGAGUGGAAUCCCACGUGUAGCGGUGAAAUGCGUAGAGAUGUGGAGGAACACCAGUGGCGAAGGCGACUCUCUGGUCUGUAACUGACGCUGGGGAGCGAAAGCGUGGGGAGCGAACAGGAUUAGAUACCCCGGUAGUCCCUGUCUCUUAUAC